UUGAACGCUGGCGGAAUGCUUUACACAUGCAAGUCGAGCGGCAGCGCGGGGCAACCUGGCGGCGAGCGGCGAACGGGUGAGUAACACAUCGGAACGUACCCAGUUGUGGGGGAUAGCCCGGCGAAAGCCGGAUUAAUACCGCAUACGACCUGAGGGUGAAAGCGGGGGAUCGCAAGACCUCGCGCAAUUGGAGCGGCCGAUGGCGGAUUAGCUAGUUGGUAGGGUAAAGGCCUACCAAGGCGACGAUCCGUAGCGGGUCUGAGAGGACGACCCGCCACACUGGAACUGAGACACGGUCCAGACUCCUACGGGAGGCAGCAGUGGGGAAUUUUGGACAAUGGGGGAAACCCUGAUCCAGCCAUUCCGCGUGAGUGAAGAAGGCCUUCGGGUUGUAAAGCUCUUUCGGCAGGAACGAAACGGUUUGCCCUAAUACGGUGAGCUAAUGACGGUACCUGAAGAAGAAGCACCGGCUAACUACGU
RNAcentral lists this ribosomal RNA (480 nucleotides) under uncultured bacterium. RNAcentral's name for it is "bacterial SSU rRNA". It matches the Rfam family "Bacterial small subunit ribosomal RNA", at positions 29 to 506 of the family's 1533-position model. The record is from RNAcentral.